Molecule: long non-coding RNA, 714 nt
Organism: Populus trichocarpa (black cottonwood)
Lineage: Eukaryota; Viridiplantae; Streptophyta; Magnoliopsida; Malpighiales; Salicaceae
Exons: 2
Source: RefSeq, a predicted model, not a curated record
CAAGUCCUGAUUUGCUCUCUCUGCGGUUUUUUUGUUCGGUUUUUGUUCAACAUGAAAUAUUUUCCUUCAAUGAGUGUCGCAUAAAUGCAAGCCUUGGUGUUUGCAGACAGUCAUGGAAACUCAGUUGAUAGUGUACAGAACAUCCGAACAAAAUUUCUCUUAAGGGUCUGCUUACUGGCCAAGAUCGGGUGAUAGUGGGGAAGUUACAACAAAUGAUCUGCUUCUAGGCAUUUGGUCAGAAGUGGAAUCCCCCGGCCACAGGAUACUUGUUUCCCUCGGCUUCAAUGAUGAGAAAGCCAAAGAACUUGAGGCUUCAAGUUGUGGACCUGGGUUUCUUGAUGGAUGAUACCUUCCACGUUCUUGAUGACCAUUGAUGUAAUUUUUGUAUUUGGACAGGGCUGUUUUGAGCUCCUUGACUGAAAUUGCAAACCCCACAAUUCAUGGAUGGCCGUGUAAGUGUAUUCUGCUCAGAUAUGUUCAUUGAAUGCUGGACAAGGAAUCCUCUUAUAUUGAAUCUUCAAAAUGUUGCACUUUUUUUUUUCCGGCUUCAGAAACCUCUUUCUCACAACCCAUUUCAUUAUAUGAUGAAACUAUCUAAAGACCGAAUCGUAAUUGGCCUUCCUUUAAGAACUGAUCUGAUGCAACCAGGAGUUGAAAUUUGGAGUGAUUUAUGAACAGUGAAUUGAUGAAAUGAUGACACUGAAUUGCCGAAAG